AAUAAUCAAAACUAAAGUAGUGUGUCAGUUAAAAGUAAUAAAAUGUAUGAUUAAUUUCAUACAGAUCCUUGCAAAUAUAAUGAACGAUAAAUAUAUCCCUACAAAGUUUAACUUUCAUAUAUUGUCCUGCAAAAAUUCUAAUAUUUUCAAAUAUAUGUUUCUGGUUUGUUAUCGUUAGAGAAUCGUUUAUAUCCCUUCAAAAAUCAUAACAGUAUAAUAUAAGAGGGGUAAAAAACUAAUCAAAAUUAAGUAUUUAACUUAUAGUUAACUAAAUUUUUCUAACGGAUUCUAACGGUAGAGAUAUAUUUGAAAACAUCAUAAUUUUUACAGGAACAACACAUGAAAGUUAAACUUUGUAGGAAUAUAUUUAUCAUUCACUAUGUUCGUAAGAAUAUGUAUGAAAUUAAACCAAAGUAAUAAAAUGUAAGAGCCUCUUUC
This 438-nucleotide long non-coding RNA is filed under the name Ananas comosus (pineapple). Its description in RNAcentral is "long non-coding RNA (ACOM_LNC007557)". Lineage: Eukaryota; Viridiplantae; Streptophyta; Magnoliopsida; Poales; Bromeliaceae. The record is from RNAcentral.